Molecule: RNA transcript, 1006 nt
Organism: Tripterygium wilfordii
Lineage: Eukaryota; Viridiplantae; Streptophyta; Magnoliopsida; Celastrales; Celastraceae
Exons: 4
Source: RefSeq, a predicted model, not a curated record
UUUGAAAAAUCGAGGGCAUGUCGCGCAGCUCACCACUAUGGGUGGAGCGCGUGCCUCUGCUUCAACUUCUGUAUCUCCGUUCGGAUGCAGAAACACGCAAAUUUACGGUUUAUAUUCUCUCUCCCUAGCUCUGGCAUAUCCUUUUCUUCUCGAUCUCUCGCUCUAUUUAUUCCGCCGAUAUUUCGUAUCUUCUGCUCUCCCCUAAUUUCAGGAGCGAAGACGACGAUGCCUGAAGCACUGGAAAGUGUUAUACCAUGACCGCCUCUCACCUCCGUUGUAGAAAUCUCCUCAAAUUGUUCUAUGCUUCUAGGGCCGCCGUUUUGCCAGAAGGGAGCGAUUACGCUUUACGGAUUUCACCACUUGAAGAAUCUCCUAGGCUUUCACCACUUGGAGACACUCCUAGGGCUUUCAAGUACAUCGACGACACCAUUGAAAGGUAUUGUGCAUGGGACUUAUGUGUCUUCAAGUUUCAACUGGUGAAAUAAUACCUGACAAAUUGAAGUUGAUGUUAGGUGCUAGGUUUGCAUCGACUGAAUUGUAAUGCGAGAUUUUCUACACAUUGGCUGACCAAACUCUUUUCGGGGAACAACUGCCCUCUCCGUGAGAUCCGGUUGUGCGCUAUGGUGCAGACAUUUGAGGGUUCAUGCAAUGGCAAAAUUAAGUUCAAAUCCCUCUUCAAGCCAGUUGGGGUUAUUAGAUUCAUGGGAUCUAUAGAUGAGAGAUGUUGAAGCUGCUUCAGAGCUUAUUAUUGUUCGUCAUGUUGAGUUAUUUUGUUGUUUUGCAUGGUUUUCUUUAGAACCCUAUUGGUGAAUGGUGAUAGACACCGUAUAUCUGAAUAUGAGAUAUUUGUACCUUCGGCCUCAUGUUUAAUUAAAUAGGGCAUACUAGAUGGGCCUAUUAACUUGAUAGGCCUGAUAACUUGAUGGGUCGUAGCCCAGAUGAUGCUAACCUCCCCUUGUUUGGUAUGUAGGCUUCUAAUCGUUGAGUUUUGCAGAUAUACAUGAAC